Molecule: long non-coding RNA, 335 nt
Filed under: Mytilus galloprovincialis (Mediterranean mussel)
Lineage: Eukaryota; Metazoa; Mollusca; Bivalvia; Mytilida; Mytilidae
Source: RNAcentral
UACAAGUUAUAUUAUUUGUUUUUAUGCCCCACCUACGAUAGUAGAGGGGCAUUAUGUUUUCUGGUCUGUGCGUCCGUCUGUCCGUCCGUCUGUCCGUUCGUUCGUCCGUCCGUCUGUCCCGCUUCAGGUUAAAGUUUUUGGUCAAGGUAGUUUUUGAUGAAGUUUAAGUCCAAUCGACUUCAAACUUAGUACACAUGUCCCCUAUGAUAUGAUCUUUCUAAUUUUAAUGCCAAAUUAGAGUUUUUACCCCAAUUUCACGGUCCACUGAACAUGGAAAAUGAUAGUGCGAGUGGGGCAUUCGUGUACUGAGGACACAUUCUUGUUAUAUGAUAUAA